RNAcentral lists this ribosomal RNA (1502 nucleotides) under uncultured bacterium. RNAcentral's name for it is "bacterial SSU rRNA". It matches the Rfam family "Bacterial small subunit ribosomal RNA". The record is from RNAcentral.
AGAGUUUGAUCAUGGCUCAGGAUUAACGCUGGCGGCGUGCAUAACACAUUCAAGUCGAACGGUGAGGGGGCUUCGGCCCCUGAUCAGUGGCGGACGGGUGAGUAACGCGUGAGCAAUCUACCUCUUGGUGAGGGAUAACAACCGGAAACAGUUGCUAAUACCUCAUGAAACGGCAGUUCCGCAUGGGACAACCGUCAAAGAUUUAUUGCCAAGAGAUGAGCUUGCGUCUGAUUAGCUAGUUGGUGAGGUAAUGGCUCACCAAGGCGACGAUCGGUAGCCGGACUGAGAGGUUGAACGGCCACAUUGGAACUGAGAUACGGUCCAGACUCCUACGGGAGGCAGCAGUGGGGAAUAUUGGGCAAUGGGCGAAAGCCUGACCCAGCGACGCCGCGUGAGGGAAGAAGAUCUUCGGAUUGUAAACCUUAGUCAACAGGGAAGAAGAAAGUGACGGUACCUGUGGAGGAAGCCACGGCUAACUACGUGCCAGCAGCCGCGGUAAUACGUAGGUGGCGAGCGUUAUCCGGAAUUACUGGGUGUAAAGGGUGUGUAGGCGGGCUAGCAAGUCAGAUGUGAAAACUAUGGGCUCAACCCAUAGCCUGCAUUUGAAACUGUUGGUCUUGAGAGUCGGAGAGGUAAACGGAAUUCCGAGUGUAGCGGUGAAAUGCGUAGAUAUUCGGAGGAACACCGGUGGCGAAGGCGGUUUACUGGACGACAACUGACGCUGAGACGCGAAAGCGUGGGGAGCAAACAGGAUUAGAUACCCUGGUAGUCCACGCCCUAAACGAUGAACACUAGGUGUGGGGUGCAAAGCAUUCCGUGCCGCAGCUAACGCAAUAAGUGUUCCACCUGGGGAGUACGGCCGCAAGGUUGAAACUCAAAGGAAUUGACGGGAGCCCGCACAAGCAGUGGAGUAUGUGGUUUAAUUCGACGCAACGCGAAAAACCUUACCAAGGAUUGACAUCCAGAGGAGGCCGGGUAAUGCUGGCUGUGCCCUUCGGGGAACUCUGAGACAGGUGGUGCAUGGUUGUCGUCAGCUCGUGUCGUGAGAUGUUGGGUUAAGUCCCGCAACGAGCGCAACCCUUACUGUUAGUUGCUACGCAAGAGCACUCUGGCAGGACUGCCGUUGACAAAACGGAGGAAGGUGGGGACGACGUCAAAUCAUCAUGCCCCUUAUAUCUUGGGCUACACACGUACUACAAUGGCGUGGAACAAAGGGCAGCGACCCCGCGAGGGUGAGCGAAUCCCAGAAAACACGUCCCAGUUCGGACUGGAGGCUGCAACUCGCCUCCACGAAGUUGGAAUUGCUAGUAAUCGCGAAUCAGCAUGUCGCGGUGAAUACGUUCCCGGGCUUUGUACACACCGCCCGUCAAACCAUGAAAGUUGAAAACACCCGAAGCCUGUGGGCUAACCGCAAGGAGGCAGCAGUCGAAGGUGGGUUCGAUGAUUGGGGUUAAGUCGUAACAAGGUAGCCGUAUCGGAAGGUGCGGCUGGAUCACCUCCUU